Molecule: transfer RNA, 66 nt
Filed under: Escherichia coli NE098
Lineage: Bacteria; Pseudomonadati; Pseudomonadota; Gammaproteobacteria; Enterobacterales; Enterobacteriaceae
Also listed under: 1 other name
Description: partial tRNA-Gln
Rfam family: tRNA
About the family: Transfer RNA (tRNA) molecules are approximately 80 nucleotides in length.
Source: RNAcentral
UGGGGUAUCGCCAAGCGGUAAGGCACCGGAUUCUGAUUCCGGCAUUCCGAGGUUCGAAUCCUCGUA